Molecule: ribosomal RNA, 333 nt
Filed under: Vairimorpha ceranae
Lineage: Eukaryota; Fungi; Microsporidia; Nosematidae
Description: Nosema ceranae partial small subunit ribosomal RNA
Rfam family: Microsporidia small subunit ribosomal RNA
Source: RNAcentral
UUCCCUAAGAUUCACCCAUGCAUGUUUCUGACAUUUGAAAAAUGGACUGCUCAGUAAUACUCACUUUAUUUUAUGUAAAUUUUUAAUUAACUACGUUAAAGUGUAGAUAAGAUGUUUACAGUAAGAGUGAGACCUAUCAGCUAGUUGUUAAGGUAAUGGCUUAACAAGGCUGUGACGGGUAACGGUAUUACUUUGUAAUAUUCCGGAGAAGGAGCCUGAGAGACGGCUACUAAGUCUAAGGAUUGCAGCAGGGGCGAAACUUGACCUAUGGAUUUUAUCUGAGGCAGUUAUGGGAAGUAAUAUUAUAUUGUUUCAUAUUUAAAAGUAUAUGAU